CCUCCUCAAUUUCUUACUCUGCCUCUUCGAUCUCUCCUCAAGAUGGAAACCACAAUCGCGUGUUCUGCUCUGAAGUUUUGAAUCCACCUUUUAAUCCUCUUCAAUCUCUUGCUCUAACUCUUCGAUCUCUCUUCCGCCACCGUCAUCGAAGCCUUCGUCGCGUCAUCGUCACCGUCAACGUGAGUUCUCUACUCUAGGAUCUGAAUUGGAAACUCUUAAGGUUCACAAGUCUUUCAUGCUAGUUCUCUUACCUGAUUGUGCCUUAAGCGAUUCAUCAACAUCAUGCAAUGGAGUUUCUUAUUGCAGAUC
Molecule: non-coding RNA, 309 nt
Organism: Arachis ipaensis
Lineage: Eukaryota; Viridiplantae; Streptophyta; Magnoliopsida; Fabales; Fabaceae
Source: RefSeq, a predicted model, not a curated record